UUUUUCAACUUUUGACCUCGGAUCAGGUAGGGAUACCCGCUGAACUUAAGCAUAUCA
This 57-nucleotide ribosomal RNA is filed under the name Alternaria sp. 257 OA-2013. RNAcentral describes it as "partial 28S ribosomal RNA". The record is from RNAcentral. Lineage: Eukaryota; Fungi; Ascomycota; Dothideomycetes; Pleosporales; Pleosporaceae.